RNAcentral lists this ribosomal RNA (253 nucleotides) under uncultured bacterium. RNAcentral's name for it is "partial 16S ribosomal RNA". It matches the Rfam family "Bacterial small subunit ribosomal RNA", at positions 524 to 776 of the family's 1533-position model. The record is from RNAcentral.
UACGUAGGGUGCAAGCGUUAAUCGGAAUUACUGGGCGUAAAGCGUGCGCAGGCGGUUUUGUAAGUCUGUCGUGAAAUCCCCGGGCUCAACCUGGGAAUUGCGAUGGAGACUGCAAGGCUAGAAUCUGGCAGAGGGGGGUAGAAUUCCACGUGCAGCAGUGAAAUGCGUAGAUAUGCGGAGGAACACCGAUGGCGAAGGCAAUCCCCUGGGCCUGCACUGACGCUCAUGCACGAAAGCGUGGGGAGCAAACAGG